Molecule: small RNA, 27 nt
Filed under: Bombyx mori (domestic silkworm)
Lineage: Eukaryota; Metazoa; Arthropoda; Insecta; Lepidoptera; Bombycidae
Description: ovarian small RNA-36708
Source: RNAcentral
UUAGAUAUUGUUCAUAGGUUUCAGGAG